This 445-nucleotide ribosomal RNA is filed under the name uncultured Tessaracoccus sp. RNAcentral's name for it is "bacterial SSU rRNA". It matches the Rfam family "Bacterial small subunit ribosomal RNA", at positions 338 to 795 of the family's 1533-position model. The record is from RNAcentral. Lineage: Bacteria; Bacillati; Actinomycetota; Actinomycetes; Propionibacteriales; Propionibacteriaceae.
CCUACGGGUGGCUGCAGUGGGGAAUAUUGCACAAUGGACGGAAGUCUGAUGCAGCAACGCCGCGUGCGGGAUGACGGCCUUCGGGUUGUAAACCGCUUUCAUCCAUGACGAAGCGAGAGUGACGGUAGUGGGAGAAGAAGCACCGGCUAACUACGUGCCAGCAGCCGCGGUGAUACGUAGGGUGCGAGCGUUGUCCGGAUUUAUUGGGCGUAAAGAGCUUGUAGGCGGUUUGUUGCGUCGGGAGUGAAAACUCAGGGCUUAACCCUGAGCCUGCUUUCGAUACGGGCAGACUUGAGGAAGGUAGGGGAGAAUGGAAUUCCUGGUGAAGCGGUGGAAUGCGUAGAUAUCAGGAGGAACACCAGUGGCGAAGGCGGUUCUCUGGACCUUUCCUGACGCUGAGAAGCGAAAGCGUGGGGAGCAAACAGGCUUAGAUACCCCAGUAGUC